GAUGAAGAACGCAGCGAAAUGCGAUAAGUAGUGUGAAUUGCAGAAUUCAGUGAAUCAUCGAAUCUUUGAACACACAUUGCGCCCUUUGGUAUUCCAAAGGGCAUGCCUGUUCGAGCGUCAUUUGUACCCUCAAGCUUUGCUUGGUGUUGGGCGUCUUGUCUCUAGCUUUGCUGGAGACUCGCCUUAAAGUAAUUGGCAGCCGGCCUACUGGUUUCGGAGCGCAGCACAAGUCGCACUCUCUAUCAGCAAAGGUCUAGCAUCCAUUAAGCCUUUUUUUUCAACUUUUGACCUCGGAUCAGGUAGGGAUACCCGCUGAACUUAAGCAUAUCAAUAAGCGGAGGA
This 342-nucleotide unclassified non-coding RNA is filed under the name soil metagenome. RNAcentral's name for it is "partial contains 5.8S ribosomal RNA, internal transcribed spacer 2, and large subunit ribosomal RNA". The stretch from base 1 to 120 matches the Rfam family "5.8S ribosomal RNA", at positions 35 to 154 of the family's 154-position model. The record is from RNAcentral.